RNAcentral lists this ribosomal RNA (1446 nucleotides) under uncultured organism. RNAcentral's name for it is "SSU rRNA". It matches the Rfam family "Bacterial small subunit ribosomal RNA". The record is from RNAcentral.
AACGCUAGCUACAGGCUUAACACAUGCAAGUCGAGGGGCAGCAUGGUCUUAGCUUGCUAAGGCCGAUGGCGACCGGCGCACGGGUGAGUAACACGUAUCCAACCUGCCGUCUACUCUUGGACAGCCUUCUGAAAGGAAGAUUAAUACAAGAUGGCAUCAUGAGUCCGCAUGUUCACAUGAUUAAAGGUAUUCCGGUAGACGAUGGGGAUGCGUUCCAUUAGAUAGUAGGCGGGGUAACGGCCCACCUAGUCUUCGAUGGAUAGGGGUUCUGAGAGGAAGGUCCCCCACAUUGGAACUGAGACACGGUCCAAACUCCUACGGGAGGCAGCAGUGAGGAAUAUUGGUCAAUGGGCGAGAGCCUGAACCAGCCAAGUAGCGUGAAGGAUGACUGCCCUAUGGGUUGUAAACUUCUUUUAUAAAGGAAUAAAGUCGGGUAUGCAUACCCGUUUGCAUGUACUUUAUGAAUAAGGAUCGGCUAACUCCGUGCCAGCAGCCGCGGUAAUACGGAGGAUCCGAGCGUUAUCCGGAUUUAUUGGGUUUAAAGGGAGCGUAGAUGGAUGUUUAAGUCAGUUGUGAAAGUUUGCGGCUCAACCGUAAAAUUGCAGUUGAUACUGGAUAUCUUGAGUGCAGUUGAGGCAGGCGGAAUUCGUGGUGUAGCGGUGAAAUGCUUAGAUAUCACGAAGAACUCCGAUUGCGAAGGCAGCCUGCUAAGCUGCAACUGACAUUGAGGCUCGAAAGUGUGGGUAUCAAACAGGAUUAGAUACCCUGGUAGUCCACACGGUAAACGAUGAAUACUCGCUGUUUGCGAUAUACAGCAAGCGGCCAAGCGAAAGCGUUAAGUAUUCCACCUGGGGAGUACGCCGGCAACGGUGAAACUCAAAGGAAUUGACGGGGGCCCGCACAAGCGGAGGAACAUGUGGUUUAAUUCGAUGAUACGCGAGGAACCUUACCCGGGCUUAAAUUGCAGAUGAAUUACGGUGAAAGCCGUAAGCCGCAAGGCAUCUGUGAAGGUGCUGCAUGGUUGUCGUCAGCUCGUGCCGUGAGGUGUCGGCUUAAGUGCCAUAACGAGCGCAACCCUUGUUGUCAGUUACUAACAGGUUCCGCUGAGGACUCUGACAAGACUGCCAUCGUAAGAUGUGAGGAAGGUGGGGAUGACGUCAAAUCAGCACGGCCCUUACGUCCGGGGCUACACACGUGUUACAAUGGGGGGGUACAGAGGGCCGCUACCACGCGAGUGGAUGCCAAUCCCAAAAACCUCUCUCAGUUCGGACUGGAGUCUGCAACCCGACUCCACGAAGCUGGAUUCGCUAGUAAUCGCGCAUCAGCCACGGCGCGGUGAAUACGUUCCCGGGCCUUGUACACACCGCCCGUCAAGCCAUGGGAGCCGGGGGUACCUGAAGUGCGUAACCGCGAGGAGCGCCCUAGGGUAAAACUGGUGACUGGGGC